ACACCACUCUCUCUCAUUCACUCAUCUGAUUUUUGAAGACCUCUCAAAGUGUUCUCUCCAUUUUUCAACCCCAAGAACACCAAGGAAACUUUGAGGCUAAGUCUUGGUCUAGGAAGUAUUUUCCCUAAGUUUGUUAGGGUUUUUGAAAGGUUUUGAAGGAGUCAAAGCUUAUAGGAAGGUCCAAACCUUAAGCAAGAACACCAAAGAGGUAAGUGCAAGGGCAAGGCAGAGCAGUGAACGCUGGAGUCUUCCUUGAAAAUGUACAUGUGGACCGACCUUUUGGGAAGCCUUUUUAUUUUUGGAAAUGUUGUGUAAUUUUCCUAAACUAGGCUCACUCUAAUCUUUAUAAAACAUGUUUGUAACUAAAUGUUAAGUAUGGCCAUACGACUUUUUAAAAAGUUUUUUUUUCUAUGGGUUUUUGAGACAUUUGUUAAAUGAAAACAUUUAUAUUUCCGCAUUAUCGAGUCUUGAAAAUCCGGGUCGUUACAGUUGGUAUCAGAGCUCGAGUUGAGCCGGUUCUGUAGAUAACCCACAUGUACAUUUCACAAAGAUAGACCGACACUCACUAUCAGUACUGUUUCUUCCUUUAGUGUGUUGUUUUCUUUUUAUUCACCUCAAUUCUAUAAAUUGUAGGUUAUGGUCGAUAUACCUGAGAUAGGUGACCCUGUGAUAGGAAAACUACCCAUGAUCCCUUCGCCUAGAAUCAAUUUUCUAUAGACUCUUUAACGAUGAGAAUUCCUUGCCACUUCGAGUACGAAUGACGACAUUGGCGUGCCAUUUGGCAAUGUACGCAGUACAUGAUGGAAGUCUUCAGUAAAGCAAGAUGAGGAUCUCGAGCAGUCUGACGAGGAUACCGACAUAGAGCUGGAUAUGUUGAUGGACAACUUAGAUUAGGUUAUGCUGUGAGGGUCUUGUUGAUACUUUUUGUAAAGACCUUGCAAACCUACUAGGUUGUAGGACUUUGGUGUAGUUGUAGCUGAGAACCCGCCAAUGGAGGAAGUGGCUAAUGAAGAACUUGGUGAUGGGUAAAUUUCUUAUGAGGAGCCGAUGGACCAAGAUGAGGAAGAUCGCGAAGAAGAUUCCAAGGAAGAUCCUAAGGAAGAUCCCGAGGAGGAUCCUGAGGAUGGUUCUAAUAUGGCAGCGGAAAGUGACACCGGCUAGGUGUUAGGAGCUGCAUAGGUGUUAGAAACCCACCUACUUUUGAAAUAUGUACCUACCUUGUAUAUGAUUAAGGAAAUUAGUAACUGGUCUAGCAGGGAUAUAAGUCCAUUUUUUUUAGGGCUAAUUUUGUAAAUCCCUUAGACUUGCCGACCCAAACUUAAAACGUUGUUGUAUAUGGUAUAGGUUAUGACA
Humulus lupulus (European hop) is the source of this 1353-nucleotide long non-coding RNA. RefSeq lists it as uncharacterized. The transcript is spliced from 3 exons. NCBI's taxonomy places the organism in Eukaryota, Viridiplantae, Streptophyta, Magnoliopsida, Rosales, Cannabaceae. The record is from RefSeq and is a predicted model, not a curated record.